GGAGGUGCCACCGGGGGCUGGCUAUCCGUCACCCCGGGGGUGACGGACGCCUGAUCACUGGAGUUCGGCGUUUCGAGUGCGCCGCUCUUCUUC
This 93-nucleotide transfer RNA is filed under the name Sinorhizobium psoraleae. RNAcentral's name for it is "tRNA-Pro". The record is from RNAcentral. Lineage: Bacteria; Pseudomonadati; Pseudomonadota; Alphaproteobacteria; Hyphomicrobiales; Rhizobiaceae.